Molecule: long non-coding RNA, 1243 nt
Filed under: Monodelphis domestica (gray short-tailed opossum)
Lineage: Eukaryota; Metazoa; Chordata; Mammalia; Didelphimorphia; Didelphidae
Description: lncRNA (ENSMODG00000045451.1)
Source: RNAcentral
CUAUAGCCAACAUGUAAUUCCACAGGGUUUUACAUGUGUCCUUGAUCAGAACCUAUUUCCAUGUUGUUCAUGUUUGCACUAGGAUGAUCAUUUAGAGCAGGGGUCCCCAAACUAUGGCCCACGGGCCACAUACAGCCCCCUGAGGUCAUUUAUCGCCCCCACCACACUUCCAGAAGGAGCACUUCUUUCAUUGGUGGUCAGUGAGAGGAGCACAGGAUGCAUGUGGUGAGCAGCAAUCUGGGGGAGGGAAUUCCUCACUGUGUAUACUGCUGCCCAGGGAUUUGUUCAUAGGGUUUUUUUAAUAGUCCAGCCCUCCAAAGGUCUGAGGGACAGUGAACUGGCCCCCUGUGUAAAAAGUUUGAGGACCCCUGAUUUAGAGUCUACAUCCCUAAUCUUAUCCCCCUUGACCCAUGUAAUCAAGCAGUUGUUUUCUUCGGUGUUUCUACUCCCACAGUUUUUCCUCUAUCUUUCUUGUAGAUCCCUCCAAGUUGUUCAGGAUCACUGCAUUGCCACUAAUGGAGAAGUCCAGAAUAAUUCCCUUUUCACAGAAUGCCUAAACAAAUUAUGUUCCUAGUCCUGACGUCUUUAUCAUGUCAUGUGAGUAUAAGUUACUCAUCCCCAUGGGAGCCAGUGACACAGCCACAGGCACCCCCAAUUCCUCAUCCCCAACGCCUCUCUCCUCUUCCCCAGGAGGAGUACCAAAGUGAACCAUCUGCUUGCCCCCAGUUCUUUUCUCCAGGCCAGAGCUAGAUUCUGCUGGGGAGAGCUGGACAGAAACAAGAAAUGAGCUAGAGAGGAGGAGAGGCAGACGAUGGGUCCCUGGAGAACGGCAGUCCCAUCACCAAGUGUCAUUCCAAAGCUGGUUCUUAGGGGAGGAGGCUUAGUGGAAUGCCUCAGUUUCCCCAACUGAGGAAUGCCUCAAUGACUGCGGUGCCUUGUUCUCCUGGCUCAUAGCCUAUUCUUGGCAGGGUAGCUUGGGUAGACACUUUGCCCUUUAAAAACUCUUUUAGGGAGGGGGAGUUGCCAGGAGCAGCCGAGGCCUGAAUCCCUGGAAACUGCUUAGUGGCCUGGCAUCCUGCCCACCUGCCUGCCAGCUUUGGGGAGGUCAUCUAAUCUUGUUAGUUCCCCUCCCAGAGCGGGUGAACUGUCUUAUGCAAAUCCUGCUCCAGCUGCCUUCAGGGUCCUGGUGCUCCCGAUUAUGUCUUUAAAUAAAUAAAGGUCUCCCACCCUCGGAAUGGACCCC